This 192-nucleotide ribosomal RNA is filed under the name Triticum aestivum (bread wheat). Its description in RNAcentral is "partial small subunit ribosomal RNA". The record is from RNAcentral. Lineage: Eukaryota; Viridiplantae; Streptophyta; Magnoliopsida; Poales; Poaceae.
AUGAACGGCAGGGUGACCCUGGAUCAGGGUUGGGCCACCUACGCAGCCGUUCAUCAGAUCAAGAUCGGCUACAUGGUGACGUUCAAGCUCCUCACUCCCGACACCCUCAAGGUCAUCAUCUUCGACGACGAUGGCAUUGAGGUCGUCAACAAGUGUGGGAAGCACGACGAAGCCUUCGCCGCCAAGGACUAG